RNAcentral lists this ribosomal RNA (468 nucleotides) under uncultured bacterium. RNAcentral describes it as "partial 16S ribosomal RNA". It matches the Rfam family "Bacterial small subunit ribosomal RNA", at positions 28 to 507 of the family's 1533-position model. The record is from RNAcentral.
GACGAACGCUGGCGGCGUGCUUAACACAUGCAAGUCGAACGGAAAGGCCCUGCUUUUGUGGGGUGCUCGAGUGGCGAACGGAUGAGUAACACGUGAGUAACCUGCCCUUGACUUUGGGAUAACUUCAGGAAACUGGGGCUAAUACCGGAUAGGAGCUCCUGCUGCAUGGUGGGGGUUGGAAAGUUUCGGCGGUUGGGGAUGGACUCGCGGCUUAUCAGCUUGUUGGUGGGGUAGUGGCUUACCAAGGCUUUGACGGGUAGCCGGCCUGAGAGGGUGACCGGCCACAUUGGGACUGAGAUACGGCCCAGACUCCUACGGGAGGCAGCAGUGGGGAAUAUUGCACAAUGGGCGGAAGCCUGAUGCAGCAACGCCGCGUGCGGGAUGACGGCCUUCGGGUUGCAAACCGCUUUCGCCUGUGACGAAGCGUGAGUGACGGUAAUGGGUAAAGAAGCACCGGCUAACUACGUG